GGGGUGAGUAAUGCGUGACCAACCUGCCCCAUGCUCCAGAAUAGCUCUUGGAAACGGGUGGUAAUGCUGGAUGCUCCAACUUGACGCAUGUCUUGUUGGGAAAGUGUUUAGUGGCAUGGGAUGGGGUCGCGUCCUAUCAGCUUGUAGGCGGGGUAAUGGCCCACCUAGGCUUCGACGGGUAGCCGGCCUGAGAGGGCGGACGGCCACAUUGGGACUGAGAUACGGCCCAGACUCCUACGGGAGGCAGCAGCC
This 252-nucleotide ribosomal RNA is filed under the name uncultured Gardnerella sp. RNAcentral's name for it is "partial 16S ribosomal RNA". It matches the Rfam family "Bacterial small subunit ribosomal RNA", at positions 100 to 355 of the family's 1533-position model. Lineage: Bacteria; Bacillati; Actinomycetota; Actinomycetes; Bifidobacteriales; Bifidobacteriaceae. The record is from RNAcentral.